GAUGAACGCUGGCGGCGUGCCUAAUACAUGCCAGUCGAGCGAACGGACGAGAAGCUUGCUUCUCUGAUGUUAGCGGCGGACGGGUGAGUAACACGUGGAUAACCUACCUAUAAGACUGGGAUAACUUCGGGAAACCGGAGCUAAUACCGGAUAAUAUUUUGAACCGCAUGGUUCAAAAGUGAAAGACGGUCUUGCUGUCACUUAUAGAUGGAUCCGCGCUGCAUUAGCUAGUUGGUAAGGUAACGGCUUACCAAGGCAACGAUGCAUAGCCGACCUGAGAGGGUGAUCGGCCACACUGGAACUGAGACACGGUCCAGGCUCCUACGGGAGGCAGCAGUAGGGAAUCUUCCGCAAUGGGCGAAAGCAUGACGGAGCAACGCCGCGUGAGUGAUGAAGGUCUUCGGAUCGUAAAACUCUGUUAUUAGGGAAGAACAUAUGUGUAAGUAACUGUGCACAUCUUGACGGUACCUAAUCAGAAAGCCACGGCUAACUACGUG
RNAcentral lists this ribosomal RNA (497 nucleotides) under uncultured bacterium. RNAcentral describes it as "partial 16S ribosomal RNA". It matches the Rfam family "Bacterial small subunit ribosomal RNA", at positions 28 to 507 of the family's 1533-position model. The record is from RNAcentral.